AUAUAUUGCGAAAUUUCUCCCUUCCUUAGCGUGUCUAAAGCGUUUAAUCGCGGUGUACAUCGUAAGUCGUUCGCAAGGAUUUUGCAACGAAUUCUAGCGACUGCCAUUUGUCGUUCACGCGCUGUUGCAGAACCGCUCCUAUCGCGUCAUCGGACGCAUCUACCGCGAGGUCAACGGGCGCCCGUGGUACCGGAUGCGUCAACAUCGUGGCAUCAGCGAGGGCACGUUUCGACUCGCGGAAGGGGUUUUCAGUUUACUCCGACCACUCGAUGGGCGCGUUGCCCUUUUUUACAGCUUUUAAUAUGUAGCCACUUUCAUGAAACGCUGUUUGUUCGGAAAGGUUUCUGGGUAGAAAAUGAAGUAAGAUAAUGGAAGGUCAUUCGAAAUGCGAUGUAUGCGUUUCAAACUCGUGAUAAGUUGAGCGUCAUUGUUCAAAGAAAUCAAGAUGUGAAAAAUAGGUUAUAGAAAGAAACAUAUUGAGUUUACAGAAAAAUAUUUCAAUUGAUUAUGCUUUAAUAAAAAUUAUAAAAUUCUGGUAUAAGGACGUAGGUACAGCUGCGGAGUGGGGAUAAUGACUUAAAUAAUAAUGCUGCUUAAUGACUUAAAUAAUAAAAUAAUAAUAAUAAAUAAUAAUAAUAAUAACUGCUAGGACCUACAUUAUCUCAGCAGUAGUUUUUUAAAUUAACGUAGAACGAUGAUUUUUUGUUAAAUCUAAG
This 716-nucleotide unclassified non-coding RNA is filed under the name Bombus terrestris (buff-tailed bumblebee). RNAcentral's name for it is "misc RNA ENSBTSG00005032129.1". Lineage: Eukaryota; Metazoa; Arthropoda; Insecta; Hymenoptera; Apidae. The record is from RNAcentral.